AAGAAAUUAGUUAAACUCCUUAUAACAUUUGCUUGUCAUGCAUAAAUUGUCUUUAAGACAUUUCUUA
Molecule: transfer RNA, 67 nt
Filed under: Cardisoma armatum
Lineage: Eukaryota; Metazoa; Arthropoda; Malacostraca; Decapoda; Gecarcinidae
Description: tRNA-Asp
Source: RNAcentral